CCUACGGGGGGCAGCAGUGAGGAAUAUUGGUCAAUGGGCGGGAGCCUGAACCAGCCAAGCCGCGUGAGGGAAGAAGGUACAGCGUAUCGUAAACCUCUUUUGUCAGGGAACAAAGGCGGGGACUAGUCCCCGGAUGAGGGUACCUGAAGAAAAAGCAUCGGCUAACUACGUGCCAGCAGCCGCGGUAAUACGUAGGGGGCAAGCGUUAUCCGGAUUUACUGGGUGUAAAGGGAGCGUAGACGGUGAGACAAGUCUGAAGUGAAAGCCCGGGGCUCAACCCCGGGACUGCUUUGGAAACUGCCUGA
RNAcentral lists this ribosomal RNA (305 nucleotides) under uncultured bacterium. Its description in RNAcentral is "bacterial SSU rRNA". It matches the Rfam family "Bacterial small subunit ribosomal RNA", at positions 338 to 640 of the family's 1533-position model. The record is from RNAcentral.